This is a long non-coding RNA of Brachypodium distachyon (stiff brome), 900 nucleotides long. RefSeq lists it as uncharacterized. The transcript has 3 exons. The record is from RefSeq and is a predicted model, not a curated record. Lineage: Eukaryota; Viridiplantae; Streptophyta; Magnoliopsida; Poales; Poaceae.
UACGGAGUACAAGCUUAACCCCUCCACCGUGACUGCUGCCGGCGCCGACCUUGGCCGCUCCUCCUUCCGGCGCUAGCCUGAGCUAGGAGCUCCUUCUUCUCCUAUCUCCUGCCGGCGCUAGCCUGAGCAAGGACUCCGGACCACCGCCUUCCUUCCCAUCCCUCCUACCUCUGCCCAUCACGCACAGUAACCCCCAACAAUAAGCCAAGCGGCCGCAAACCUUGGCUUGCCAAACCUCAUGGCUCCGCCCUCUAAUCAGCAUCUCUCCUGUUCUCCCCUGCUCAAGUCGCCGGCUGUCCUUCUCCCUCAACGUUCCUAUCAUUCCCUAAUGCCUAAUUCGUCUUCGUUUCGUUGCUUCCGAAGAACUACUUACGCCGAUAAGGUGUUUGAGGAAAAUCCAAAUAGGCUGCAGAGAGGAACAUAAUGGCCCAUAUAAUUUUAGCCAUCCUGUCAAUGAUACUGGAGUAUAAUUAAUCCUCCAGUCGAUGAUAUCGGAGUACAUUGUCCAUCAAGCUAUUCACAAUUCGCAAUAUUUGGACCUAAAGGAGUUCAACAAGCUUAGUCUUUCAUCCGCUUGAAGGAGGGGGGGUUGAACAAGGUGGGUGAGAGCUGUUUUUCGACACUUUUGAAAAACUGAAGGUGGAUGAAAGUGGUAAUAUAUUACUUAUGCUCCCUAGACCCAAGAAGAACAAUAUCUGACUUGAAUCUAACUCUCCAGCCUGAGAAAGAGUUCCCCAUCUUACUUGGAGUUGAGCAAGUGUAUUGUGUCCUUUUUUUAUUGCGAAGACAAGUGUAUUGUGUCCUGUGAAGGAGUCAACGCAUUGAUAAAUACUACUCAUGUUGUUUCUAGGUAGUACUGUACAUGCUAAUAAAAUAUUGUGUUGAUUCAGGCUCUCCCAA